Molecule: ribosomal RNA, 274 nt
Filed under: uncultured bacterium
Lineage: Bacteria
Description: partial 16S ribosomal RNA
Rfam family: Bacterial small subunit ribosomal RNA
Source: RNAcentral
AUACGAAAGGUGCAAGCGUUGUUCGGAUUUACUGGGCGUAAAGAGAGUGUAGGUGGUUUAUUAAGUCGGAUGUGAAAUCCCGGGGCUCAACCUCGGAACUGCAUUCGAUACUGAUAGGCUAGAGUUUGGGAGGGGUAAGCGGAAUUCCGUGUGUAGCAGUGAAGUGCGUAGAUAUACGGAGGAACACCUGAGGCGAAGGCGGCUUACUGGACCAAUACUGACACUGAGACUCGAAAGCGUGGGUAGCAAACAGGAUUAGAAACCCUUGUAGUCC